Molecule: ribosomal RNA, 448 nt
Filed under: uncultured bacterium
Lineage: Bacteria
Description: bacterial SSU rRNA
Rfam family: Bacterial small subunit ribosomal RNA
Source: RNAcentral
UCGGGAAUUUUGGGCAAUGGGCGAAACCCUGACCCAGCAACGCCGCGUGAAGGAUGAAGUAUUUCGGGUAUGUAAACUUCGAAAGAAUAGGAAGAAUAAAUGACGGUACUAUUUAUAAGGUCCGGCUAACUACGUGCCAGCAGCCGCGGUAAUACGUAGGGUGCAAGCGUUAAUCGGAAUUACUGGGCGUAAAGCGUGCGCAGGCGGUUGUGUAAGUCAGAUGUGAAAUCCCCGGGCUCAACCUGGGAAUUGCAUUUGAGACUGCACGGCUAGAGUGUGUCAGAGGGGGGUAGAAUUCCACGUGUAGCAGUGAAAUGCGUAGAUAUGUGGAGGAAUACCGAUGGCGAAGGCAGCCCCCUGGGAUAACACUGACGCUCAUGCACGAAAGCGUGGGGAGCAAACAGGAUUAGAUACCCCCGUAGUCCCUGAGCGGGCUGGCAAGGCGCAU